GCGCGGAUGAGGUCGAUUUGGAGGUUGUGCCCUUGAGGCGUGGCUUCCGGAGCUAACGCGUUAAAUCGACCGCCUGGGGAGUACGGCCGCAAGGUUAAAACUCAAAUGAAUUGACGGGGGCCCGCACAAGCGGUGGAGCAUGUGGUUUAAUUCGAUGCAACGCGAAGAACCUUACCUGGUCUUGACAUCCACAGAACUUUCCAGAGAUGGAUUGGUGCCUUCGGGAACUGUGAGACAGGUGCUGCAUGGCUGUCGUCAGCUCGUGUUGUGAAAUGUUGGGUUAAGUCCCGCAACGAGCGCAACCCUUAUCCUUUGUUGCCAGCGGUUAGGCCGGGAACUCAAAGGAGACUGCCAGUGAUAAACUGGAGGAAGGUGGGGAUGACGUCAAGUCAUCAUGGCCCUUACGACCAGGGCUACACACGUGCUACAAUGGCAUAUACAAAGAGAAGCGACCUCGCGAGAGCAAGCGGACCUCAUAAAGUAUGUCGUAGUCCGGAUUGGAGUCUGCAACUCGACUCCAUGAAGUCGGAAUCGCUAGUAAUCGUAGAUCAGAAUGCUACGGUGAAUACGUUCCCGGGCCUUGUACACACCGCCCGUCACACCAUGGGAGUGGGUUGCAAAAGAAGUAGGUAGCUUAACCUUCGGGAGGGCGCUUACCACUUUGUGAUUCAUGACUGGGGUGAAGUCGUACAGGGGAAACCCGAAAAAGGGGGGGGGCCCAGGGGGGGGGAAGGGGGGGGGAGGGGGAGGGGGGGGACGGCGGGGGGGGGGAAAAGGCGGAAUAGGAAAAAGAGGGAGGUAGGAAACCUGGGGGAUU
This 817-nucleotide ribosomal RNA is filed under the name Klebsiella pneumoniae. RNAcentral describes it as "bacterial SSU rRNA". The stretch from base 1 to 708 matches the Rfam family "Bacterial small subunit ribosomal RNA", at positions 800 to 1533 of the family's 1533-position model. The record is from RNAcentral. Lineage: Bacteria; Pseudomonadati; Pseudomonadota; Gammaproteobacteria; Enterobacterales; Enterobacteriaceae.